Molecule: ribosomal RNA, 253 nt
Filed under: uncultured bacterium
Lineage: Bacteria
Description: partial 16S ribosomal RNA
Rfam family: Bacterial small subunit ribosomal RNA
Source: RNAcentral
AACGUAGGGGGCGAGCGUUGUCCGGAAUCACUGGGCGUAAAGGGUGCGUAGGCGGCCGCUUAAGUCCUGUGUGAAAGGCCCCGGCUUAACCGGGGAAGGCCAUGGGAAACUGAGCGGCUUGAGUGCUGGAGAGGGUGGCGGAAUUCCCGGUGUAGAGGUGAAAUUCGUAGAUAUUGGGAAGAACACCAGUGGCGAAGGCGGCUCACUGGCUCGUAACUGACGCUCAGGCGCGACAGCGUGGGGAUCAAACAGG